RNAcentral lists this ribosomal RNA (255 nucleotides) under uncultured bacterium. RNAcentral's name for it is "partial 16S ribosomal RNA". It matches the Rfam family "Bacterial small subunit ribosomal RNA", at positions 524 to 776 of the family's 1533-position model. The record is from RNAcentral.
GACGAACCGAGCGAACGUUGUUCGGAAUCACUGGGCUUAAAGGGUGCGUAGGCGGGUCUUUUAAGUCAGGGGUGAAAUCCUGGAGCUCAACUCCAGAACUGCCUUUGAUACUGAGGAUCUUGAGUUCGGGAGAGGUGAGUGGAACUGCGAGUGUAGAGGUGAAAUUCGUAGAUAUUCGCAAAGAACACCAGUGGCGAAGGCGGCUCACUGGACUGGUAUUGACGCUGAGGUGCGAAAGCGUGGGGAGCAAACAGG